Molecule: long non-coding RNA, 589 nt
Organism: Erinaceus europaeus (western European hedgehog)
Lineage: Eukaryota; Metazoa; Chordata; Mammalia; Eulipotyphla; Erinaceidae
Exons: 3
Source: RefSeq, a predicted model, not a curated record
CACAGGAGUCUGGGCUGCUGGGAUGCAGCUCAAGUGGCUUGUGCUUGUUUACGCCCAGCCAUUAGCCUUGUUCCUGUCACCAUCAAUUACUGAAGAAUCCAUCAUGCCUUACUCAUGAGGGGGCUUCAUUUCCGUUUCCUGAGGAAGAGUGGCAGGGGGCAGAUAACUUCAGGAGGUGCUAAGAGUCGUGAGGAAGGACAGCAUGUGGUCUUGACUCAAAAUGAUACUCCAGUGCAUUUGGGAGAGGCACAACUUACCAGUCAAGGAAGAACACAGGAGUCACUAGGUUCCAGAUGCCAUCAGGAUGCCGGCCAGGCUUCCCUGGAUUGAAGACCCCACCAAUGUAUCCUGGAGCUCAGCUUCCCCAGAGACACACUCUACUAGGGAAAGUGAGAGGCAGACUGGGAGUAUGGACCGACCAGUCAACGCCCAUGUUCAGUGGGGAAGCAAUUACAGAAGCCAGACCUUCUACCUUCUGCAACCCUCAAUGACCCUGGGUCCAUGCUUCCAGAGGGAUAGAGAAUGGGAAAGCUAUCAGGGGAGGGGGUGGGAUAUGGAGAUUGGGUGGUGGGAAUUGUGUGGAGUUGUA